This 85-nucleotide transfer RNA is filed under the name Hormoscilla sp. GM102CHS1. RNAcentral describes it as "tRNA-Ser". It matches the Rfam family "tRNA". Rfam says of the family: Transfer RNA (tRNA) molecules are approximately 80 nucleotides in length. Their secondary structure includes four short double-helical elements and three loops (D, anti-codon, and T loops). The record is from RNAcentral. Lineage: Bacteria; Bacillati; Cyanobacteriota; Cyanophyceae; Gomontiellales; Gomontiellaceae.
GGAGAGGUGGCAGAGUGGUCGAUUGCGCUCGACUUGAAAUCGAGUGAACCGCAAGGUUCCGUGGGUUCAAAUCCCACCCUCUCCG